This is a long non-coding RNA of Antechinus flavipes (yellow-footed antechinus), 482 nucleotides long. RefSeq lists it as uncharacterized. The transcript is spliced from 3 exons. NCBI's taxonomy places the organism in Eukaryota, Metazoa, Chordata, Mammalia, Dasyuromorphia, Dasyuridae. The record is from RefSeq and is a predicted model, not a curated record.
GUGGAAACUGAGGCAAAGUUCAAUGACUUGAUCUUCCAGACUUCAGACUCAGUACAUCACAAAGCUGUUCCAUUGAGUCUAUCACCCAAAUUAUGAAAACUGUCUACCACAUCCCCGAAGAAGGAAAUGAAACCACAGGAAACAAGAUCUCUACUUCUUGAGAAAUUGGAGCAUCCAAGUCAGCACAGUGAGGAACAAGACACCAACAGGAUUAUUCUGAUCAUAAGCCAUCACUGGCCUCAGGGCUUUUUCAUUGCAGAAACAAACCUGAUUUCCUUCUUCAGAUUUCUAGUUUGAAUAGUCUAUUAAAGAUCUACCCUGUUCUUUUUUUCUUUUUCCAGUUCUGCUUGUUGAGAUUGUGCUAAUCAUUCUACUGUGCCAAAUCCAAAUCACAUUUUUAUGUUGCUUUAUAUAUAUCCUUCCAAUCUUGUGAUUUUUAUGUUUCCAUAAUAUACUUGUCAGUCAACAAGUGUUUAUUGAGU